GAUGAAGAACGCAGCGAAAUGCGAUAAGUAAUGUGAAUUGCAGAUUUCAGUGAAUCAUCGAAUCUUUGAACGCACCUUGCGCCUUGUGGUAUUCCACAAGGCAUGCCCGUUUGAGUAUCAUUAAAUCAUCAACUCUAAAACCUUUGUGGUUUUUUUUAGAGCUUGGUCUUGAGGGUUUUGCAGGCUUUUUUUUUUUUUUCGAGUCUGCUCCCUUUAAAUGCAUUAGCGAGACUUCCCUAUGCUGAACCGUCUCUUUGACGUGAUAAUUAUCUGCGUCGAAUUUUGGUUCUCGUUGGGCUUGCUUCUAAUCGUCUGAUAAAGACAAAACGGAUUUGGGUGCAUAUAUGCGCCUUUUUCCAAAACCUUUUUUUGAUCUCAAAUCGGGUAGGACUACCCGCUGAACUUAAGCAUAUCAAUAAGCGGAGGA
Molecule: unclassified non-coding RNA, 427 nt
Filed under: soil metagenome
Description: partial contains 5.8S ribosomal RNA, internal transcribed spacer 2, and large subunit ribosomal RNA
Rfam family: 5.8S ribosomal RNA (bases 1-120)
Source: RNAcentral